GAUGAAGAACGCAGCGAAAUGCGAUAAGUAAUGUGAAUUGCAGAAUUCAGUGAAUCAUCGAAUCUUUGAACGCACAUUGCGCCCCCCAGUAUUCUGGCGGGCAUGCCUGUUCGAGCGUCAUUUCAACCAUCAAGCCCUGCUUGUGUUGGGGUCCUGCGGCUGCCCGCAGGCCCUGAAAACCAGUGGCGGGCUCGCUAGUCACACCCAGCGCAGUAGCACAUCUCGCUCAGGGCGUGCGGCGGGCUCCAGCCGUUAAAGCACCCACCUUUCGCAAGGUUGACCUCGGAUCAGGUAGGAAUACCCGCUGAACUUAAGCAUAUCAAUAAGCGGAGGA
RNAcentral lists this unclassified non-coding RNA (334 nucleotides) under soil metagenome. RNAcentral describes it as "partial contains 5.8S ribosomal RNA, internal transcribed spacer 2, and large subunit ribosomal RNA". The stretch from base 1 to 120 matches the Rfam family "5.8S ribosomal RNA", at positions 35 to 154 of the family's 154-position model. The record is from RNAcentral.